CCCUUAGAUGUUCUGGGCCGCACGCGCGCUACACUGAUUCAUGCAACAAGUUUUGUCCUUGGCUGAUAGGCCUGGGUAAUCUUUGAACGUGAAUCGUGAUGGGGAUAGAUGAUUGCAAUUAUUCAUCUUCAACGAGGAAUUCCUAGUAAACGCAAGUCAUCAGCUUGCAUUGAUUACGUCCCCGCCCUUUGUACACACCGCCCGUCGCACCUACCGAUUGAAUGGUCCGGUGAAAUCUUCGGAUCUGAGAGAUGUCUGAUUAAUUUCGGACGCCUUUUGGAAAAGUUGCUUAAACCUUACCAUUUAGAGGAAGGUGAAGUCGUAACA
This 327-nucleotide ribosomal RNA is filed under the name uncultured eukaryote. RNAcentral describes it as "partial 18S ribosomal RNA". It matches the Rfam family "Eukaryotic small subunit ribosomal RNA", at positions 1470 to 1796 of the family's 1831-position model. The record is from RNAcentral.